RNAcentral lists this non-coding RNA (30 nucleotides) under Mus musculus (house mouse). Lineage: Eukaryota; Metazoa; Chordata; Mammalia; Rodentia; Muridae. The record is from RNAcentral.
UAAGCUGAAUGACUACUAUUGCUAAGAAAG